Molecule: long non-coding RNA, 799 nt
Filed under: Carica papaya (papaya)
Lineage: Eukaryota; Viridiplantae; Streptophyta; Magnoliopsida; Brassicales; Caricaceae
Description: long non-coding RNA (CPAP_LNC012164)
Source: RNAcentral
UUUUUUUUUUUUUAUUUACAGAAGAAAAUAUAAUUAAGAGAAAGAAAGAGAAAUACAAUUACAGAGAAUAAGACAUCCUCCAAAUAUUCAUAUAAACUUUUCAGUGCUAGCAAAACAACACACAUUCACAUCACACCAUAUCUGCAAUUGCAUUAAGCAUCAAAGCAUCAUCCAUAACCAGCCACUCUUCAGCUGAGUGGUUCCUUACUUCCCUCCACCUCGAGGGAGUAGGUUCCAGUGUGGCCUGCAGUUACAUGCCACUUUAAACGGCCUUCGAGCAAGAAAAAGAAAAAAAAAGAGCAUCAAAGAAGAAAACCGAUCAGAUCAGAAGAUACUUGCUAAGUUCAGAUCAGCAGAUGAUAAGACUGGAGUCCAAAUUAAUGAAGUAGGACUAAAUGGCAGCAGUAUAUAAGCAAACUGUUGACUAAAUAUUAAAUGUAAAUGAAUCUGAAAUCUACUUGUAAGGAGGUAAUCACCAGGACACCGACUAGAGGAGUUAUCCUUGAUCGAACAGAAGUAAUUAAAAAUGGGGUGUGAAAAACUUGUACCAAGCAGCUAAAGACAAUAAACAAAAUGAACAUUAGGAUCAGUUGAAAGCCUUACUAGUUGAAGAGAGAGAGGAGACAGAAAAGUGGGAAGAUCAUUUCUUAUGGAAAAUGUGUUUCAAUUUAAAUAAAUAUUUCCAGGUAAACCAUAAAGGCUUCAAAUGUUUCAUGUACAAAUGAUGCUAUGUGAUGAUUACCAUAAUUACUAUAACGAUUGAUUGUAUCUUCAAAAACAAAAUUUUGUAAAUCAAUCA